This 440-nucleotide ribosomal RNA is filed under the name uncultured bacterium. Its description in RNAcentral is "partial 16S ribosomal RNA". It matches the Rfam family "Bacterial small subunit ribosomal RNA", at positions 338 to 795 of the family's 1533-position model. The record is from RNAcentral.
CCUACGGGAGGCAGCAGUGGGGAAUAUUGCACAAUGGGGGAAAGUCUGAUGCAGCGACGCCGCGUGAGGGAAGAAGGAUUUCGGAAUGUAAAGCUCUAUCAGGAGGGAAGAAAAUGAAGGGAGCUGAUCAAGAAUCCGCGGCUAACUACGUGCCAGCAGCCGCGGUAAUACGGAGGGGGCAAGCGUUAUCCGGAUUUACUGGGGGUAAAGGGAGCGUAGACGGCAGCACAAGUCUGGAGUGAAAUGCCUGGGCUUAACCCCGGAACUGCUUUGGAAACUGUGCAGCUAGAGUGCAGGAGAGGUAAGUGGAAUUCCUAGUGUAGCGGUGAAAUGCGUAGAUAUUAGGAGGAACACCAGUGGCGAAGGCGGCUUACUGGACUGUAACUGACGUUGAGGCUCGAAAGCGUGGGGAGCAAACAGGAUUAGAUACCCCAGUAGUC